GAUGAAGAACGUAGCGAAAUGCGAUAACUAAUGUGAAUUGCAGAAUUCAGUGAAUCAUCGAGUCUUUGAACGCACAUUGCGCCCCCUGGUAUUCCGGGGGGCAUGCCUGUCCGAGCGUCAUUGCUGCCCUCAAGCACGGCUUGUGUGUUGGGCUCCGUCCCCCCGGGGACGGGCCCGAAAGGCAGCGGCGGCACCGAGUCCGGUCCUCGAGCGUAUGGGGCUUUGUCACCCGCUCUGUAGGCCCGGCCGGCGCCAGCCGACAACCCAUCAUCCUUUUCAGGUUGACCUCGGAUCAGGUAGGGAUACCCGCUGAACUUAAGCAUAUCAAUAAGCGGAGAA
RNAcentral lists this unclassified non-coding RNA (339 nucleotides) under soil metagenome. RNAcentral describes it as "partial contains 5.8S ribosomal RNA, internal transcribed spacer 2, and large subunit ribosomal RNA". The stretch from base 1 to 120 matches the Rfam family "5.8S ribosomal RNA", at positions 35 to 154 of the family's 154-position model. The record is from RNAcentral.